AUUUAGGUUAGCUAACUUUUGCUAAAAGGGGAAAUAAACUGUUAUUUUGUUUUAUUUUAACUCUUAGAAUAUUAGCUAGUUAACUACUUUAUCUACAUGAGUGACUUAAAGCUAUUAAUCUGCCUUUACCUCUCAACAAUUGGCUAGCUAUAGCCAACCUAAAGCGAUUUAGCGUUUAGCUAGCUAGGUAUAGCUAGCUUAGUUAGCUCUUCAACUGUUUUCAGUUAACGUUAUCGUUCAGAAACACACCAGUAAUCGAACAAUAAUUUGUUUUUACAUCUGUCUGCUGCAGAUCAGCUGGAGAGAAGGAGUGAGGAACAGUCAGGAGAGAAAUGGAGGUGAAGAACAGUGAAGAAAAGUGAAGAACAGUGAGGAACAGUUCAGGAAUAAUACAGGAUGAGCUGGAGAAGAGCUGCCUGAGCAGCAGGAGGAAGAAGUUUCCCAGAGAUGGAGGAGGAGGAUGGAGGGAGUGGAGCGCAGGAGAACGGAGAGAUGGAGCAUACACACCUCCACCUCACCUGCCUGCCGGAGAGAUACAUGAGGGCCAAGUUCUCCCUGUCUGCCUACAUCUUCUGCUGGGCUGUAGUUAAACUGUACCAGAGGAGAUUAAGACCGUCUCCGGUUCUGCUACAGGUAUGAAAGGGUUAAUCUCCGGAGCUGUGGAGGACAGUGAGCUGCUGGUGUUCUGAUCUGACCCUCCAGACUCCUUCAGCUCGGUUGUCUGGGCAGCAGCGUGAGAUAUGUAGACGUGGUGUAAUUGGUCGGAGAGUGGUGUAUUGUUCCUGCACUGUUUCUCACGCCGCUGGAGUUCAGUUCUCACGGCCAGCGCUACGUCUACCUUCAUAAACUCUCUACGAACACACAGACCGUCAGUACCAGCUUCCAACCCAACAUCAAAACCCCCUGCAACCCGGGAACUCUAAAUUACAUACAGACCGUUCCACAGAAUCAGUGCCGUUUCUCUCCCCAGGAAAUGACAUGUAUAAAUGUGCACAAAAUACAUUUAAAAUACAUUUAAAAUACAUUUUAUUGUUAAUCAAAGUGUCUUGUACAUUGACCUAAUUGCAAAAGUAAGACAUGUAUUAAAAACAUUGAUAAAAACUACUUAGACCACUGAAAAAAUAGCAUUUGUUACCUGUUACCCCACUCUCUAACUAUAAACUUUACCAUGAAAUAUAUUUAUUAAAAUCCUUCAGAAAUGUAAUGUGUAUGUUUUUUUGCGUUGUUGUGUUUAUCCAAACCACAUCUAUGCUUUAAAAAUAUAUAUUUUUCAUAAUAAAUACAUAAUAUUUAAGUUAAAUACA
This 1304-nucleotide long non-coding RNA is filed under the name Astyanax mexicanus (Mexican tetra). RNAcentral describes it as "lncRNA (ENSAMXG00005013373.1)". The record is from RNAcentral. Lineage: Eukaryota; Metazoa; Chordata; Actinopteri; Characiformes; Acestrorhamphidae.